CCUCUGUCUGGCUUCUCUCUCUUACACAAAACCUUUUUCCUCUCACUUCUAUAUUAUUAUGUACAGUCCAAUAGUUCUCUCUCUUUGUGCUAAAAGGAAGCAAAUUCAACAAUUGAUUCGAAUGAUCUGUACUCGUCUUUGGUUUUUCAAAAAGACCCUCUCAUCUCCAUUAUUAUUGUGUUGAAGAUUUGAGAAAUUUGUGGUGCACAACCCUACUCUGUCUCAAAUUUGUGGUUGCUCAAUAUGCAGAUGAAGGUGCCGUCACUCACAGAGGGUUCAGGCAAAAGGGGUAUCUAACUCUCUUUUCACAAUCACUUAUCUCCCUCACAGAUUUCCCCAAAUCUUCUGCCCUAACUUCUGUAUCAGUGAAAUUGAUUCUUCAAAUCUUGAAAAAAUCUACCACAAUAAUAUCAAUCUCCAUCAUCUGUGGUUGUUCACCUUUAUAAAAUGCAAAGUGCCCAGCUUCAAACCCCACCACGACGAAGGACAAUGGCAUCCUUCACACCAAAAACAGACAGGCCGUGCUGUGGUGUUCGAUGUGGAUGGUGGGAGUUGCGGUCCACCAAAACCCGGUAAGCAAGAGGUACAAAUCUUGCCGUCUUUUCUUUACAAACUUCCUAAUCUCAACGUUUCUUCUCUUCACCAUGUCUGUUUCUGUAUUGGGUGUUUGAAGAAUUUCGGUUUAUUUGGUAUCAAUUGGUUUGAUUUUUUGGUACUUGUUUGUUGUGUUUGGGGUUGUUAAAAAAUUGAAGUAAAAAGGAGACCAUCAUUUUUUAUGUGGUUUUCAUCUUAUUGGGUUCAUUGUAUGCCGAUUACAAAUUUUGGAGUGAGAUGUAUGGGGUUGUGGCAAAGUUAGACAGUGACAGAGCGAUGAAGGGGAAGACCAAAAAAAAAAAAAGAGGAAAAGAAAAAACACAAACAGGGCCCAGCAAAAGAUACAUGGUAGGCUCCACGGACCAAGGAAGACCAAGCUCAUUCUUUAAUUUCCUUCAUUCCUGAAACCAAUCCAUCAUUGUUGAAUUAGUACAUGGUUUCUGGAAAUUGGCUCCUUUAAGUCAACUAUAAUUUUCAAUUAUUAUUAUUAGUUUACAAGUUUUGAUUAGUUUUUAAUUGCUCAUUAUCUGUUGGUUUUGUUGAAGCAAGUUUCUGUGCCAUUUUUAGGCUAACUCCAUACUCCUCGGUCGUUGUUCAAUACACAAACAAAGAAGAGGAAUAGAUCUCCUCAACUCUCAGUUGAUUCAUCCAUUGCUGAAAAUGAUUGUCCUUAUCUGGCUAGUAUGGCUAACGAUGUUGAUGACUUUAAGAUGUGGGGGUCUGACAAUGUUAAGAUAUUUUUAGAAAUCUUGCUCGAUGAAAUAAAGAAAGAGGGUCCCUGCAUGUCAAAGAAAGAUAGAAAUUUGUCCUAAAGCAAUGGCAAACAAUUGAUGAUGAGAUGACUAAGAAGCUUGGAAAAAUUUUUGGCCAAAGAAAGUUGAAGGGUAAGUACGCACGUUUGAAGGCAAACUACAAAGAGUUUGUUGCUCUAAAAAACCACAUGAGAUUAGGCUGGGAUCUAAUAACACAAACAGUGACUACCCCAGAUGAUGUUUGGAAAAAUUAUGUUCAGGCACACCCAAAUGCCAAACAAUUCCAAAAUAAAGGCCUUGAACAUUAUGACCUAAUGUCAGAAAUCUUUGCCAAAACAUUUUCCACUGGAACAUUUGCCCGUUCUUGUCGUUAGGGUGCACCUACAUCUGAUAACGAGCGAGAAAUGGAUGAACUCUUUCAUGCAUAUACCUCCAGGAAAGGUGUAGUAGAUGAAUCUUGCACUUCUAAAAGUAAGCGUAAGUCUAGUGGCCAAGGGCAAUCAAGCAAGAACCCGAGAAUGGAUGAUGCACUUCAAUCAUGGCAACGUUCAAGUGACGCACGUGAAAGGUUUUACCUUCGAACUAAGACAAAUGCUGGGGCAACUAAUGCGUACUCAGUUUCAGCCUGCAUGGACAUACUCAAAUCAAUGGCCUUGGAUUCAAGCUUGUACUUGAAGUCCAUGAACAUGUUCACAUCGUUAGAAUGGCGAACCAUGUUUGUGACCAUGGAACCGGAAAUGAGGUACCUUUGGAUCCUUAGUUUGUGACAAGCUUGGUGAUCCCACAGUUGUGGUGGAUGUGAAGGUGGACAUACUUUGUGACAAGGCUGGGUGCUUACAGAAUUUGCUUUAUUUUUUUUUUAACUUGCCUUUUUUUUUUUUUUUUUUAACUUGCCUUUCGGUUUAGACUAUGGUGGGCGUUGUCCCAAUUUUUUUUUCCCGCUUUCUA
Non-coding RNA from Camellia sinensis, 2294 nucleotides. Lineage: Eukaryota; Viridiplantae; Streptophyta; Magnoliopsida; Ericales; Theaceae. The record is from RefSeq and is a predicted model, not a curated record.